Molecule: ribosomal RNA, 308 nt
Filed under: uncultured bacterium
Lineage: Bacteria
Description: bacterial SSU rRNA
Rfam family: Bacterial small subunit ribosomal RNA
Source: RNAcentral
GAUUAACGCUGGCGGCGUGCAUAACACAUUCAAGUCGAACGGUGAUGGGGGCUUCGGUCCCCUGAUCAGUGGCGGACGGGUGAGUAACGCGUGAGCAAUCUGCCUCUGUGUGCGGGAUAACAACCGGAAACAGUUGCUAAUACCGCAUGAUGUAUUUGAGUCGCAUGUCUUAAAUACCAAAGGCUUGCUGCACAGAGAUGAGCUCGCGUCUGAUUAGGUAGUUGGUGAGGUAACGGCUCACCAAGCCGACGAUCAGUAGCCGGACUGAGAGGUUGAACGGCCACAUUGGGAACUGAGAUACGGUCCAG